CCACGAAUAGUUUGUACCCCGAAGUCGGUGAGGUAACCUUUUGGAGCCMGCCGCCGAARGKGGGACAGAUGAUUGGGGUGAAGUCSUAACMAGGKAGCCGUAUCGGAAGGKGSGGCUGGAUCMCCUCCUUUCUAAGGRUAUUAURCGGAAUAUAAGACCUUGCGGUCUUAUAGACAGGWGCGUUUGGAUCUUGUUUAGUUUUGAAGGAUCAUUCCUUCAARGCGUGUUCUUUGAAAACUAGAUAACGAAAGUAGACAUUCACAUUCRAUUGKAAUGCAAGAUAUCACGUAGUGAUUCUUUUUAACGGUUAAGUURGAAAGGGCGCACGGKGGAUGCCUUGGCACUAGGAGCCGAUGAAGGACGGGACGAACACCGAUAUGCUUCGGGGAGCUGUAAGCAAGCUUUGAUCCGGAGAUUUCCGAAUGGGGAAACCCACUGCUCGUAAUGGAGCAGUAUCCAUAUCUGAAUUCAUAGGAUAUGAGAAGGCAGACCCGGGGAACUGAAACAUCUAAGUACCCGGAGGAARRGAAAGCAAAUGCGAUUCCCUGAGUASCGGCGAGCGAAACGGGAACAGCCCAAACCAAGAGGCUUGCCUCUUGGGGUUGUAGGACACUCUGUACGGAGUUGCAAAAGAACSAGGUAAAUGAAGAGGUCUGGAAAGGCCCGCCAUAGGAGGUAACAGCCCUGUAGUCAAAAYUUCGUUCUCUCCUGAGUGKAUCCUGAGUACGGCGGAACACGUGAAAUUUCCGUCGGWACCCGGGAAGGACCAUCUCCCAAGGCUAAAACUCCCUAUGACCGAWWGUGAACCCAGUUMCCGUGRGGCAAAGGGAV
Molecule: unclassified non-coding RNA, 831 nt
Filed under: Rhodococcus sp. lignite_5/1
Lineage: Bacteria; Bacillati; Actinomycetota; Actinomycetes; Mycobacteriales; Nocardiaceae
Description: partial contains 16S ribosomal RNA, 16S-23S ribosomal RNA intergenic spacer, and 23S ribosomal RNA
Rfam family: Bacterial large subunit ribosomal RNA (bases 306-831)
Source: RNAcentral